RNAcentral lists this ribosomal RNA (324 nucleotides) under uncultured eukaryote. Its description in RNAcentral is "partial 18S ribosomal RNA". It matches the Rfam family "Eukaryotic small subunit ribosomal RNA", at positions 1470 to 1796 of the family's 1831-position model. The record is from RNAcentral.
CCCUUAGAUGUUCUGGGCCGCACGCGCGCUACACUGAUGCAUUCAACGAGUUUCUUCCUGGUCCGAGAGGAAUGGGUAACCUUUUGAAAGUGCAUCGUGAUAGGGAUAGACUAUUGCAAUUAUUGGUCUUCAACGAGGAAUUCCUAGUAGACGUAGUUCAUCAGACUGCAUCGAUUACGUCCCUGCCCUUUGUACACACCGCCCGUCGCUCCUACCGAUUGAAUGCUCAGGUGAGCCAUUCGGACUUUCAUCAUGCUGGUUUCCAGUUUUGAUGAAGGAAAGUCUUGCGAACCUUAUCAUUUAGAGGAAGGAGAAGUCGUAACA